UACAGAGGUCUCAAGCGUUGUUCGGAUUCAUUGGGCGUAAAGGGUGCGUAGGCGGCGCGGUAAGUCGGGUGUGAAAUCUUGGAGCUUAACUCCGAAACUGCAUUCGAUACUGCCGUGCUUGAGGACUGGAGAGGAGACUGGAAUUUACGGUGUAGCGGUGAAAUGCGUAGAUAUUCGGAGGAACACCAGUGGCGAAGGCGGCCCACUGGCUCGACACUGACGCUGAGGUGCGAAAGCGUGGGGAGCAAACAGG
Molecule: ribosomal RNA, 253 nt
Filed under: uncultured bacterium
Lineage: Bacteria
Description: partial 16S ribosomal RNA
Rfam family: Bacterial small subunit ribosomal RNA
Source: RNAcentral